CAAGGCAUAGCUUAAACAAAGCACCUAGUUUACACCUAGAAGAUUUCACACACUAUGAAUGCCUUGA
This 67-nucleotide transfer RNA is filed under the name Cephalophus silvicultor (yellow-backed duiker). RNAcentral describes it as "tRNA-Val". Lineage: Eukaryota; Metazoa; Chordata; Mammalia; Artiodactyla; Bovidae. The record is from RNAcentral.